AUGUGGUAAGCUAGAACAUUAAGCUACAACAGUAACAAUAAAACAACAGCAAGUAAAUCGGUGCUCAUUUUUCUAAAAAAGUAAAUCGGUGCUCAUUUUUCUAAAAAAAGUAAAUCGGUGCUUAUUUAGAAAGAAAAGAAUUGCAAUCGAUGCUAGCACGCAUGGCAAGCUGGAGCAGCUUCUUUUUUUAGGGUUGCUCGAGCAGCUUCUGGUCGGUGCAGCCAAUAAAGAAAUCAAUCCACACAAAAAAAAUCCCCACCAAGACCAUUACUGCGUGGACAUCGCCAUUCCUCCAGCAGCAUUGUUGCUCUUCUUUCUCUUUCUCUUUAUCCAUCCACAUCCAGACAUCCAGUGCGCCGACGAACCCACCCAUCAGCGGUGCUCUCCUUCCUCUCAUCUCUAUCCGUGCUCCAGCCACCCACCACCCACGCGCCCUUCUUGCUUCAGUCGACGGCGCCUCGUUCCCAUCUCCCUUUCCUCCUCCACAACUAACCAAGCACCGCCCUCUCCUUGACCAUGGCACCCGGAUCUCCCUAACCAAGCCCUUGAUCCUCCCUUCCCACCCGUGAUGAUCUGAUUUCCCAGGCCAUCUUGUCCGCGACUGACGGUUCACGUUCGUCGGCCGGUUGCAGCGCGGCUCCUAUUGGCCGAGCCUGCGCGCACGGGGGCUGACUGGGCCUAUGGCUGAGGCGCGGCAGCGGUGUCUUGCUCACCGUCGAGCUCGACAGCUACUUGAUGGGGCCGCGUGGAUCUGCCCCGAGGCUCCGGAUCUGCGUGGUCAUGUCCAGCACACCCUCCGAUGGCGCCUUACUGCGGCGCUUCAGGCCCAGAUCUCGCCGGUUGGUGCGUGGAUAUGCGUGCACUCAGCUUGAGGUAGCACAAGGAUGAUGGGGCGGCUUGGAUGGUGGCCCGUGCAGUGUGCAGCUGCCCUCAGAACGCAGGCGUCCCGCGACCUCGUGGCUCUUAGCGACGCCAAGCCACGGCUGGCAAUCUGCCAUCAUCUGGACGCAUGCCAUGGCGGUUGCGCCCUCAAGCUCCAGCACAAGUCCCGCCUUCCCGCGCCGCGUUGCAGCCCGCGUUCCUCUGCUCCGACCGCACACCUCGCGCCGCAGCGCGAGUUCCUCUGCUCCGACCACACCCGACACCCGCGUCGGCGACCCCUUCGGCCCUCGCCAUGCCGACAACCACCAAGAACCCCGCCACCUCCUCGCAUUCUCUUGCUGCUCGUCGCCAGGAGCGCCGCCACCCUCCUAGGAGCCCUGUCGCCGUUCCCCUGGGACCCUUGCUCGAUUACUUGGCUUCGAGGAGCCCCGUCGCCGUUCCCCUAGGACCCUCGCUCGAUUACUUGGCUUCUGUAGCAUGGACCCCGGCGACAAGCGGCGGUGAGUGGCCGGCGGUGGAGUCUGGGAAUGGAUAAGAGACCUUAUAAAAUAAGGAAUAUAAGGACUAUGGGCUGAAUUUCAACUACUACAGGGGCUAUUUUGCAAAAACAAAAUGUUUUCUUAGGAACACACUUUAUAUAGGACUGCGGGUUGCAUUCGAAUAAACUGAGGGACUUUUAUGCAAAAUCGCACACGACGACGUACGGGCAGAAACCCAAUUCUCUUUAUUAUUGGGUAAAGAUACAUAUUUCAAAACUAGACUCUUUUUUUCUAUCAAAUCGGUGAAUAUGUAUUAAUCUACUUUGAUCGUGUGGCAAUGCAUUGGCACAUUGCUAGUAGUUAUUACUACUGUAUAAUUUUUUGGACACCAGACAAACGGUGGAGUACAUAUAUGAAGAGAAGAGGUGCACGUACACAGUCGGUCUCUUGCUGUCUCGCACACAUGAGUUACGUAAAGGCGCUGUUAACAAAUAAACCGUAAAACCCUAGGUGCACGAUUGCUGCAUGCGCGGGUACUGGGUACGUGGUGGAGCGCACCUUUGUAGGAAUAAUCAGCUCGCAUGAUAAUUUGAUCCAUAGGAGUUGAUGGUCGGGACCACAAGUGAACGACCUGGAGGCGGUGGCUCGCCAGUUGCCACAGAUCGAGUAGCCAUGUUUUAAAUAUCAUUUUUAGCGGGGUAAGAGUUCCGAUUUUCAAUGGCGCAUUAUAAGUACUUAAGUAGUUUUUAGAACGAUUGGAUGGAGUAAAAAUGGAAUUCAUAAUUACUACCUCCUUGGCGUAUGGUUGUAUGGUUUUAUGUUGCAAGAUGUUGAACCUGGUAGUUCUAGGGCAAAUACUAUGGUUUAGAUGUUGCUUUUCAGUAAUGAAAAUCGGAAGGGGGAAACCCUUCUUCGAUGAAAAAACUACUACCACCGUCCUUUUUUACUAGUCCCCAUCGUAUUUUGGGUCAAAGUUUGUCCAUGAAUUUUACUUGUUAAAUGUGAAUGAAAAAUAGGAUUUUGUUAUACCCAAACAAAAAAGGACUGGAGGGAGUGAUUGCUCUGACAUGGACGCGACCUCUCAUAGCGCAGGCAUUGAACUGGCGCACUGGCCAAGAGAGCCCCACUCACUGCAGGCCCGGCUGAACACACCUCAUCGCCGCAUGCAACCGGCUUUAGACUGCCCUGCCUGCCUCCAUUGAAUCCGCCUGUGUGCCAGCAACACAUCCUUCCGCGAGCCGACUGGCAUUUUAAAAUACAAAAAAUGACGAAAAUAUAAUUAAUUACGCAUGGUCUUGACUUGUUGUGCUUGCACUGGUAGUAGGAGCAAGAUGUUCUUCUUUAUUUAUAACUCUCCUCACAUUUUUUUGGCUUUGAAGUGAAUCAUGGUUGCGGACAUUA
Molecule: long non-coding RNA, 2762 nt
Organism: Triticum urartu
Lineage: Eukaryota; Viridiplantae; Streptophyta; Magnoliopsida; Poales; Poaceae
Source: RefSeq, a predicted model, not a curated record